Pelobates cultripes (western spadefoot toad) is the source of this 414-nucleotide non-coding RNA. The record is from the annotation of a GenBank genome assembly. Lineage: Eukaryota; Metazoa; Chordata; Amphibia; Anura; Pelobatidae.
CCUGGCACCCAGACCACUUCAUUAAGCUGAAGUGGUCUGGGUGCCUAGAGUGGUCCUUUAAGAAGCCAGAAGUCCGUGUAGUGGCUGUCUGAUAGAUUAGAAAUCUAAAGAGCAAGUAUAAUGAGAGGAAGGUAAACUGUUAAUGUCUGCCUAGAUAAAACAACUGUGAUUUUUUUAAGUGUUCAUUAAUAACAAACAUCGUAUUUUUAAUAAGCCACUAAACCUUUAACACUUUGUACAGCCGCAAAUCAAACUGGUACACUAAAAGGAACGUGUUUUGUCAAAUUUCUGUUGUACUAUACCAUCUGUCUUAUGAAUAUUUUAUGAAUGAGGGUUUAAAAAUUUUUUUUAAUUAAAAACUACAAUUUUCUUUUUGUAAUUAUGAAAAUGGUGAUUAAAAAGAGUUAAACAGUU